Apodemus sylvaticus (European woodmouse) is the source of this 5576-nucleotide long non-coding RNA. RefSeq lists it as uncharacterized. Lineage: Eukaryota; Metazoa; Chordata; Mammalia; Rodentia; Muridae. The record is from RefSeq and is a predicted model, not a curated record. The transcript is spliced from 7 exons.
UGCUGCCGUGCGUCUUCUUAGCGAGGCAUCUCGGCUCGGAGCGGGCCGCGGUGGAUUUGGAACAGGGUCGGAGGGAGAGGAUCUGCAAGUCCGCCAGAGCCAGGCCAUGGAGCUCGGGGAGUCGGGGAAGGUUCCUGUGAUCUUUGAUGACAUCACCCUGUACUUGCUGCAGGAAGAAUGGAUGCUGCUGGAAAAACCCAUGUGAACUUUAUGGAAGAACUAGAUAUGCAGGGUUCCACCGGAGAGAAAGGACAGUAUCUGCCACCCCAAAAGAAAGCCUGCCACGCUCCCUUCAGUGCAGAGAGCAGCACAACGGAGGAAGACUGGGAAGGAGGAAACAAGAAACCCCCAAAUCCCCGCUCUAUCAGGAAGUCGUGGUUUACAAAGUUUCUGUGGCUGAUCAUGAACGAGGAACAGACAACUCUGUUUUGUGCUGUCUGCCGAGCAUACCCAUCUGUCAGGGACAGAAGGUCACAAUUAAUAGAAGGCUACAUGGGACCAUUCGAGGUGGAAACUCUCAAAUACCAUGUCAAGAGCAAGGCCCACAUAUUCUGUGUCAAUGCCCUGGCCGCCAAGGACCCCGUCUGGGCAGCCCACCUUCAGAGUCUCAGGGAGAGUCCUGCAGAUGCUGUGGCCAGCCAUGAACACCUCCUCACUGCAGACGAUCCCACACUCUACCUGCCAGGGCCUCUGGGAGACUUUGAUGAUCUAGAUGAGCUCCCGUCUAGCCCAAGAGCCGAACCCAAGGACGCUUCAGGGAGUGGCGCCAUCCCUGCAUUGUAUUCAGACUGCGAGUCGGAUCUGAGGCAAAAAGAAAUCGGCAGUGGCACCCUCAGUCUUCCAGGAGCAGCACGUUAUUUAAGGACAGUAUUGAUUUCUGCAUCCAGGAGCCUCCUGACAAGGAGUGGCGCCCGGGGAGCUCCCUGCCACAUUCGAGGACUUGGCCGCUGUGCAUUUCCCCCGGGUGGGUGGAACCUGCUAGACCACCAGCAGGAACUCUACGGAGCAGACGAACUAUUGGUUUCCUGGGAUGUACCUAGUGCUUCCUGCUGUGGAGGAUGAAGACACUCCCCCCCAUCCUCUCAGAACAGGAACAGCAAACUUUUAUGGUUACAUCAAUGGCUCUGAACAAUGAAUCCAAAGGUAAUUUAAUUUCUUCAAAGGGAGAAAGAAGAUGGUGGCAGCGAGAGAAGCUGACAGCCAGGCCCAGGCCUCAGCUGUAGAGGCCGCCUCACACCCAGCCUCUGUGGAGACAUCCACUGCACACUGCCCUCCUCCCGGCGUGUGUGAAGGAGAAGUGGACAGCCCAGGCGUGUCAGGAGCACAUGCAGACCCUGUUCCAUUCAGAGGCCUUGGCUUGGGCAGUUUCCCUGGUUAGUAAUGGACUCCAAAGAGGUGAAGCUGCUUUGCUCGGUCCGCACAGAAAGACCAGCUCUCCACGACAAGUCGUCCCGCUUGGUCCAAGGUUACACGGGCCUUUUAAAGUGGAAACUUUAAAAUACCAUGAGGUCAGUAAGGCGUCCAGAUUGUGCGUCAAUACCAUGGAGGUCAGAGAUGACAGCCCUCAGCCUGCUCUCAGCCCAGAGAUCUCCAGCGACCUCGCGGCUAGUAUGGAGUCCUUCUUCAGGGCUGCCUCCUCCAUAGCCUACCACUCCAGCUCCAUGAAUGACUUCAAGAAAGUCUUGCAGCAGCUCUAGAACACUGGCACCACACUCUUAGGCAAGUACUGGAACCACACCACAUGUACCCAGUUCAUCAAGUAUAUCUCUGAUUCUCUGAAGAAGGAAAUCCUGAGAGACAUCCGGGCUCCUUGUGUGUGAGCCUGCUAUUGGACAGCUGCACAAACCCCUCCAGCCAGGCCUGCGUGGGGAUAUACGCACGCUCCUUGAAGCAGAUGGAAGUGAAGGAGUCCUACAUCACCCCAGCCCCCUCCCCAGUGAGACAGUAGACGGUACUUCGAGGCCAUCAUUGCUGCCCUGGAUGAGCUGGGCAUCCCUUCUGGAAGCCUGGCUGGGUGGUGGCUCUGGGGACGGAUGGGUGGGCCAUGCUGAGCUGCAAGGGAGGCCUCGUGGAGAAGUCCCGGGAGGCCGUCCCUCAGCUGCUGCCGGUGCACAGUGUGGCCCACCAGCUGCACGUGGCUGUGGUGGAUGCUUGUGGUGACAUUGAUCUGGUGAGGACGUGUGACCGGCACAUCUGGACUGUCUGCAGGUUUUACCAGUCCUCGAACAAGAGGGUCAGGGAGCUGCAAGCUAUCACAGCCCCGCUGGAGCAGGAGAUGGCUCCUCUGAAGGACUUGAGUGCUGUCAGGUGGGUGGCCAGCAAGAGGCGUACUCUGACCCCAUUGGUCGCGAGCUGGUCUGCCCCGGCUAGGCACCUCCGGAGUGUGGCCGAGUGUCGUGACCACCCUCACUGGCAAGGAAUAACGCAACACAGGAAGAUCUUCUUCAAGCAGUUUACUCAGGAUCCCUGUACUUCUUCUUCUGACCCCGGAGAGAAUCAGCCCAGCCCUUAAAUACUAAUAGCCAGCCAAUCAGGCUUAGCCACGUGGGCAUUGCUGAUAGGCUGUAUCCACGUGGAAGGCACAAGACUCAACAGGCUCCACCCAAAUAAGGACUUGUUAAUGACAGGGAGCCCGCCAGUGGGAAGGAGGAAAGUGGAAACCCGCGCCAUUUUAAGGGCGCGGGAGCAAGCAGCUCCCUACAGCGGAGGCCCCGGCUAGGCACCUCCAGAGUGUGGCAGAGGCCCUGGCUAGGCAUCUCCAGAGUGUGGCAGAGGCCAGGGCCCAGGUUGGGCAGAGGACCAAAGACAUGCUGAAGCUGGUGAAGGGCUUCCAUUUCCUCAAGCUCUGCCACCUCAUUUUGGAUUUUUUGAGCAUCUAUAAGCCCGUGUCUGAGGUCUGCUGGGAGGAUCUUGUGCUGGUCACAGCUGAUUUCCACCCUGGGGCAUGCCUACAUGGCACUGGAGAGUCUCCGGCUACGGGCAGGGCCCAGAGAAGAAGAGUUCACUGCUGGCCUCCGGGACAGGCAGCUCCACGGCAUCUUCCUGAACUGAGCAGAGACUGUGGAGCAGCGGUUCCGGGCUGAUGGAGAGAAUGAUCCAGACUGGGGCCCAGUACCUCCAGCAGAGGUUUGGUGUAGACUGGCCCGCACAGCUUAGGAACAUGGAGGUGUUAGACACCGUGGCCUGGCCUAGCAGGACCCAACUGGCCUGCUUUGGGAACGGACAUUCUCAGCCUUGCCAGGUACUUUGCACUUUCCCAGAGGGAUACAGCGAGGAAGCGCUGCUGAGGGAGUGGGGGAGCUUGAAAGUAACUACCCAGAGCUUCCCCUUCUCUGUGCUGUGUAAGAGCGCCCUGACUCAGCACUGCCGAUUCCCUCUGCUGAGCAGACUCAUGACUGUGGUGGUCUGUGUGCCCAUCUCCACUUCCUGCUGUGAACGGGGUUCAGGGUCACAAGCAGGAUCAGGAUGGAUGAGAGGUCCAAACUCUCCAACGAGGUGCUCAACACACUCAUGGUGACAGCAGUGAAUGAUGUGGAAGUUAGAGAGUAUGACCCUCAGCCAGCCAGCCAGCACUGGUACCUGACCUCUUCAGGACACUGCUUCAGCCACACCUACGCCUGUGCCCAGGCACCUACCUGCUCCAUGCCAGGCUCGGGAAGCAGGGCGUGGCAGCACUUUGUAAGGAGGACUCCAUGGCCCAGAAGGCAUCCAUCACACCAUCUGGGGAGCCAUGAGGUUUAGAAAAAUCACAUGGUGAAGGUUCCUGUGCCCUAUACCAUCUCAAAGACCCCAUGGACCUGAAGAGGAGUGGCCUAGACAAGGCUUUGAGGCCCCCUUGAAUAUGGAGAGAGGCUUUCUGAAGAUUUUAGGCUGUCCUGGUGUGAUAACUUAGGGCCCAGAAUGUGGGCAGUGACAAAGGAUUGAAGCAGACAUCCCGAGGGGCAAGGCCUUCAAGGUGCAGCCACGCCUUCCAGUGCAAAAGCAUGCCAGAGCAGCCCUUACCUCAAGUCCAUUUUGCCCGAAGAAUCCUGCCAUGAAGAGUUCUUCCCACAUACUCUGAAGUGGCAGAGCAGGGGCGGCUGGCGGCAGGGGCACCCUAGUUCUCCACAUCCCUUGCACAAGUGAGGAAAGUCAUUUGACGGUGGAAAUCACUGUGCUCCCAGGACCAUGUCCUGCUGCAGAAGCUCCCAGGAUUGGCCAUUCUGAACCACUCAUGCUGUAGAAUCAAGGCGACCCUACUCCUCAACGCCUGCCUUUAGCGUGAAACAGUCCAACAUCCUUUGUUAUCAGCACAGGCUCCCAGUCUAUGCCCUAAGCACACAGCCUCUGACCAAACUGCCUGCCCACCCCAGAGAUUCUGCACGCAGGGAGGCGCCUCAGCAUUCUGCAGACCCUACAGCUCUCCACCCCAGCACUUGGCCUUGGCAUGCAGGGUACAGUUAUCCUGCUCAAGAAGAUCCCCAUCCAGCCUAGAUGCUUGUAGGAAAGGGGCAGACAGGUCUUUGGCUCCAAAUCUAGGAGGUGAACCAGGCAAAAAUCUCAGUCCAGGGAUCUUCCAGGUCAGGGUCGAGCCAUCUGCAUGGCUUCAGCAAGCUUCUCUCCUCUAAAAAUACCCUCAGCAAGACAGCAGCCCUGUGCAAUGUAGCCAUGGUUUCUGGAAUGAGGUUUGGGGAGCUGAGGGGCUACCAGGUGGAGAAGCAGCCUGAGGUCACCUCCUGGUGUGGAGCAGGAUAUUUCCAGGCUAAGAAACACAGGGUGGUUGCCAUGCAUUGAGCAGGUUCCUUAGCCAAGGUGUCUUACUCAGGUUUUCCUGACCCUAUGCUAGCUCGAGGCAGAGAGAAGCAAUGAUCGUAUUUGGGCCCCGAAGGGGGAGGAGCACAUGAUGAGCACCCUCACCUUGCACUUGUGCUCAGGCUGGUCCUGUUUUGCUCUUAAGUGGCUGCAUUUCACUGGGUGCAUCUGGCUUCGCCUUAGGGGAAAACAAGGCACAGGGCAUUGGGAGGAGGAGGAGGAGGAGGCACUACCCCCUUUGGCCUCAGCCCUGGGCCUCCCCUUCUUUCCUGCCUUUUAACAUGCUUGACCCCCCUGCCCCUCUCCACCUGCCUGUCUCUGUGUAACCCCUGCUGCCCUGAAGUUUGCUAUGCAUAUGGGCUGGCCUUGAACUCACAGAGAUCCACCUGCCUUUGCCUCCCGGGUGCUGGGAUUAAAGGCUUGCAGCACCCUGGCUCCUGUUCUCAUCUUCUGUAUUUCCUGGCUUGUAUCCCUCCCCUCGCCUGCUGCUCCAAGGGGCCAACACUGGGCUCAGCACUUUGAUUUCAGUAGCCAUAGAGACUUGGGCAGCGGGGAAGCUCAGCCCUGAGCAGCUGAACACAGUAGAGCGUAGCCACCUCCAGACCUGGUACCGCCACGGGCAAGUCCUAGGGUGCUAAGUGUGGUCAGGACUGGCGUCUGUGUAGCCAGGCACAAAGAUGAUUGGACCAGGAUGCUCUGGGCUCCUGCUUUCAAGGAUGUACAAAUUAGGUUUAAAAAACCCUGUCUUAACGUUUGCUAUCUGAAUAAAGCAGAAUUUGACUUUA